This 450-nucleotide ribosomal RNA is filed under the name uncultured bacterium. RNAcentral's name for it is "partial 16S ribosomal RNA". It matches the Rfam family "Bacterial small subunit ribosomal RNA", at positions 354 to 796 of the family's 1533-position model. The record is from RNAcentral.
GUGGGGAAUCUUCCACAAUGGACGAAAGUCUGAUGGAGCAACGCCGCGUGAGUGAAGAAGGGUUUCGGCUCGUAAAGCUCUGUUGUCGGGGACGAAUGUGCAGUAUUUGAAUAAAGUAGUGCAAUGACGGUACCUGACGAGGAAGCCACGGCUAACUACGUGCCAGCAGCCGCGGUAAUACGUAGGUGGCAAGCGUUGUCCGGAAUUAUUGGGCGUAAAGGGAGCGCAGGCGGGAAGGUAAGUCGGUCUUAAAAGUGCGGGGCUCAACCCCGUGAUGGGAUCGAAACUAUCUUUCUUGAGUGCAGGAGAGGAAAGUGGAAUUCCUAGUGUAGCGGUGAAAUGCGUAGAUAUUAGGAGGAACACCAGUGGCGAAGGCGACUUUCUGGACUGUAACUGACGCUGAGGCUCGAAAGCCAGGGGAGCGAACGGGAUUAGAAACCCGUGUAGUCC